This 345-nucleotide ribosomal RNA is filed under the name uncultured bacterium. RNAcentral describes it as "bacterial SSU rRNA". It matches the Rfam family "Bacterial small subunit ribosomal RNA", at positions 1 to 353 of the family's 1533-position model. The record is from RNAcentral.
UAGAGUUUGAUCAUGGCUCAGGAUGAACGCUGGCGGCGUGCUUAACACAUGCAAGUCGAACGAUGAAACCCACUUGUGGGUGGAUUAGUGGCGAACGGGUGAGUAACACGUGAGUAACCUGCCCUUGACUCUGGGAUAAGCCUGGGAAACUGGGUCUAAUACCGGAUAUGACUGACUAUCGCAUGGUGGUUGGUGGAAAGCUUUUGUGGUUUUGGAUGGACUCGCGGCCUAUCAGCUUGUUGGUGGGGUAAUGGCCUACCAAGGCGACGACGGGUAGCCGGCCUGAGAGGGUGACCGGCCACACUGGGACUGAGACACGGCCCAGACUCCUACGGGGACGCAGCA